CUUGGGAGUGCGUGUACGCGAAUUGGGGGAGCGCGCUCGGGAAUAAGUGCUUUCAUUUUGCUAAAGAUGCUAAUUCUUCACAGAGUGAAUCAGUUUCUCAAAGGGUUUCCCACAGCAGCUGUCGCAGCCCCCCGGGUUUUUUAACUCAAGUGUUGGAAGGAUCAGAAAAUCUAGCCCUGUACCAUGACUGGCAGAAUCUACAAACCCCUCCUCUCUCUGGGGGUGGUGUUCAACAUUCUCCGGCGCCUUCUGAGAACGGCAUUCAGUAUUCUCCGGCGCCCUCUGGGAGCGGCGUUCAGUAUUCUCCACCAUCUCUGACGCCAUCUUUUUCUAACAGGUGGUCCCCUUUGUCGGCAGCGCUUUACUCUGACCGCGGAUAUCGGCGUAGAAGCCGCUAUUCACCCCGAUAUUCCCUUCGUCCUGACCAUCAGCGGAGACAUCAAGAAAGACUGGAAUAACUGACCGAACAACUUCACCAUUUACUGGUGCAAUUUGUAGAAUUUGAGGCUCCUGUGUACAAUUCCACACCCGAAAUGUGUUUAGACUUGAUGCAUAUGUAUGCAUUUUACAUCCAUCUAACCCAUAAUUAAAG
Erpetoichthys calabaricus (reedfish) is the source of this 592-nucleotide long non-coding RNA. RefSeq lists it as uncharacterized. The record is from RefSeq and is a predicted model, not a curated record. Lineage: Eukaryota; Metazoa; Chordata; Cladistia; Polypteriformes; Polypteridae. The transcript has 3 exons.